UUCCGUAGGUGAACCUGCGGAAGGAUCAUUACAGAAUGAAAAGUGCUUAACUGCAUUUUUUCUUACACAUGUGUUUUUCUUUUUUUGAAAACUUUGCUUUGGUAGGCCUUCUAUAUGGGGCCUGCCAGAGAUUAAACUCAACCAAAUUUUAUUUAAUGUCAACCGAUUAUUUAAUAGUCAAAACUUUCAACAACGGAUCUCUUGGUUCUCGCAUCGAUGAAGAACGCAGCGAAAUGCGAUAAGUAAUAUGAAUUGCAGAUAUUCGUGAAUCAUCGAAUCUUUGAACGCACAUUGCGCCCUUUGGUAUUCCAAAGGGCAUGCCUGUUUGAGCGUCAUUUCUCCCUCAAACCCUCGGGUUUGGUGUUGAGCGAUACGCUGGGUUUGCUUGAAAGAAAGGCGGAGUAUAAACUAAUGGAUAGGUUUUUUCCACUCAUUGGUACAAACUCCAAAACUUCUUCCAAAUUCGACCUCAAAUCAGGU
RNAcentral lists this ribosomal RNA (480 nucleotides) under Lodderomyces parapsilosis. Its description in RNAcentral is "eukaryotic LSU rRNA". The stretch from base 182 to 335 matches the Rfam family "5.8S ribosomal RNA". Lineage: Eukaryota; Fungi; Ascomycota; Pichiomycetes; Serinales; Debaryomycetaceae. The record is from RNAcentral.